GACUCUCGGCAACGGAUAUCUCGGCUCUCGCAUCGAUGAAGAACGUAGCGAAAUGCGAUACUUGGUGUGAAUUGCAGAAUCCCGUGAACCAUCGAGUCUUGAACGCAAGUUGCGCCCGAAGCCACUAGGCCGAGGGCACGCCUGCCUGGGCGUCA
RNAcentral lists this ribosomal RNA (155 nucleotides) under Prunus persica (peach). Its description in RNAcentral is "rRNA 5_8S_rRNA". It matches the Rfam family "5.8S ribosomal RNA". Rfam says of the family: 5.8S ribosomal RNA (5.8S rRNA) is a component of the large subunit of the eukaryotic ribosome. It is transcribed by RNA polymerase I as part of the 45S precursor that also contains 18S and 28S rRNA. Functionally, it is thought that 5.8S rRNA may be involved in ribosome translocation. The record is from Rfam by way of RNAcentral. Lineage: Eukaryota; Viridiplantae; Streptophyta; Magnoliopsida; Rosales; Rosaceae.